AUUGAACGCUGGCGGCAUGCCUUACACAUGCAAGUCGAACGGCAGCACGGGUGCUUGCACCUGGUGGCGAGUGGCGAACGGGUGAGUAAUACAUCGGAACAUGUCCUGUAGUGGGGGAUAGCCCGGCGAAAGCCGGAUUAAUACCGCAUACGAUCUACGGAUGAAAGCGGGGGACCUUCGGGCCUCGCGCGAUAGGGUUGGCCGAUGGCUGAUUAGCUAGUUGGUGGGGUAAAGGCCUACCAAGGCGACGAUAAGUAUCUGGUCUGAGAGGACGACCGGCCACACUGGGACUGAGACACGGCCCAGACUCCUACGGGAGGCAGCAGUGGGGAAUUUUGGACAAUGGGCGAAAGCCUGAUCCAGCAAUGCCGCGUGUGUGAAGAAGGCCUUCGGGUUGUAAAGCACUUUUGUCCGGAAAGAAAUCCUUGGCCCUAAUACGGUCGGGGGAUGACGGUACCGGAAGAAUAAGCACCGGCUAACUACGUG
This 486-nucleotide ribosomal RNA is filed under the name uncultured bacterium. RNAcentral describes it as "partial 16S ribosomal RNA". It matches the Rfam family "Bacterial small subunit ribosomal RNA", at positions 30 to 507 of the family's 1533-position model. The record is from RNAcentral.